Molecule: ribosomal RNA, 138 nt
Filed under: uncultured eukaryote
Lineage: Eukaryota
Description: partial 18S ribosomal RNA
Rfam family: Eukaryotic small subunit ribosomal RNA
Source: RNAcentral
UGGUGGAGUGAUUUGUCUGGUUAAUUCCGUUAACGAACGAGACUCUGGCCUAUUAAAUAGUUCGCCGAUUCCGAUCUGUCGGCGUUAACUUCUUAGAGGGACAAGUGGCUUUUAGCCACGCGAGAUUGAGCAAUAACA